This 410-nucleotide long non-coding RNA is filed under the name Panax ginseng (ginseng). RNAcentral's name for it is "long non-coding RNA (PGIN_LNC011681)". Lineage: Eukaryota; Viridiplantae; Streptophyta; Magnoliopsida; Apiales; Araliaceae. The record is from RNAcentral.
AGGCGUAGAUGCUUCAACUUCUCUGAAGACAAAAUCUCCUACUUCGAAUCUGCGAAGCCUUACCCCCUUAUUAUAAUACUUGGCUACUCUGCGUUGAUAGGCUGCCAAUUUGAUUAAGGUUGUUUCUCUGACUUCUUCAAGCAAAUCAAGAUUGGCCUUAAGCCCUUCUUCAUUGUAGAUCUCUCUGAAUUGACUAACUCGAAGACUUGGAGAUCCAAUUUCAACUGGGACUAAGGCAUCAGUGCCAUAGGCCAAUCUGAAAGGUGAAUCCCCCGUUGUAGUCCUCGGAGUAGUUCGAUAAGCCCAUAGCACACUAAGUAGCUCUUCUGGCCAUCUGCCCUUAGCUUCGUCCAAUCUGCGCUUGAUCCCAUUCAGCAGCGUUCUAUUGGUCACUUCAACCUGUCCGUUUG